Molecule: long non-coding RNA, 1283 nt
Organism: Haliotis rufescens (red abalone)
Lineage: Eukaryota; Metazoa; Mollusca; Gastropoda; Lepetellida; Haliotidae
Exons: 3
Source: RefSeq, a predicted model, not a curated record
CCAUAAUAAACACACCAUGGCUUAUGCCCCUUGCAAUAUGACGUCAUUGGUGCCAAUUGAUAAAGGAAUGACGUCAUAAGACUUUAUUAGACGCGUUUCACGUGGUGUAUGUAGGUGUGUGGUUCUAUCUUCUCAGAUGCGCAGCCUAGCUAUUGUUUUGUUCGGUGCCGAGCUGUCCAAGAUACAACGCUAAGCACAAUUACUCAAAAAUUAUUUCGGUUUCCAAAAUCGCGACUGAGAAGACAACAAUGCACUGAUAACAUACUGUAAGAUUCGCGAUUAUGGCUGGAAGGGUCCGUUGUAUGAAUUGCGCUUAUUCGUUCAUUUGUGUUGCGCAUAUUGGCUCUUGCUGAGUUGCUGUCGUCUUCCGUGAGAGUUUAGAUACCUGCUGGUUCUGAAACCACAGGACCGUAUGUAACUAAUAAUAACAAUAAAAAAAACUCGCCAAAAAAUUAUAGACGAGGCCGAAGGCCGUUUUUGUUACUAUCAUUAGUUACAUAUGGUCUUGUGCUGAAACUGAUCGGAAGCGGAUGGUGUACGAUCCUUAUAUGGAAACGGGCUAAAGGGACAGCACUCUCAUCAAGACCCUGACUGGGAUGUUUUUGUAAACAAACGCCGUAAAGUUGAAGUAACUCGAUCAGUUUCGAGCCAAGUCAUGCCAGACACCGAUGCCCAGAAAGUACAGGUCCCCAGUCCAUCAUGGUGUACAGUCUCUGUCCAAUGUACACCAGAAGCAUGGCACACCGUGCUUCACAGUAUGAGGUCCCACAAUGAUAUGGAAGAGUAUAAAUGCGACAAAACCCUUUCCAUAUUCAUAUGAAAUCUCUGUAAAAAACAGUUGAUGGUACGAUUCUGACUAAAUCAUGAGCAGGUGUUAAUGAAUCGCUAUCAAAUAAUGAUAAUACCAGGUGUUCGCAAAAGGUGAGAGUAUCCUGCCCCAACGGUGUCACAAGAAAUACCUGGUGUUGAGAUCCAAUUUUCAUUGUGUGCAAAUUGUGUUUAUUUUCAUGCAGAGUUACAAGUCAUAAAAUAUUAGAGUGUCUUGUGAGGUACAGUGCUUCCGACAACAAGAGAGCUGUACUUUUGAAAUAGUCAACCAGUGCACUAACAAGUUGCCACUGAGCAUUUAGCCAGUGCUUGUGAUAUUUUCUUCAGUCUUUUCCCGGCCUUCGCCCUUGCCCAAAACUACCUGAUCCAGCAUCAGCCAUCAUGUAUUACAGAAACUUAUCAAAUGAAACAGCAAAGGCUGAUUGUUGUCAGAGACCAUAAAACAAGAUUUCAAU